This 639-nucleotide ribosomal RNA is filed under the name Simplicispira sp. RNAcentral's name for it is "bacterial SSU rRNA". It matches the Rfam family "Bacterial small subunit ribosomal RNA", at positions 28 to 666 of the family's 1533-position model. Lineage: Bacteria; Pseudomonadati; Pseudomonadota; Betaproteobacteria; Burkholderiales; Comamonadaceae. The record is from RNAcentral.
UCUUCACAGUAGCGGCAUGCUUAACAUGCAGUCGAACGGUAACAGGUCUAUCGGAUGCUGACGAGUGGCGAACGGGUGAGUAAUACAUCGGAACGUGCCCGAUCGUGGGGGAUAACUACUCGAAAGAGUGGCUAAUACCGCAUACGAUCUACGGAUGAAAGCGGGGGAUCUUCGGACCUCGCGCGGACGGAGCGGCCGAUGGCAGAUUAGGUAGUUGGUGGGAUAAAAGCUUACCAAGCCGACGAUCUGUAGCUGGUCUGAGAGGACGACCAGCCACACUGGGACUGAGACACGGCCCAGACUCCUACGGGAGGCAGCAGUGGGGAAUUUUGGACAAUGGGGGAAACCCUGAUCCAGCCAUGCCGCGUGCAGGAUGAAGGCCUUCGGGUUGUAAACUGCUUUUGUACGGAACGAAAAGGUCUUUUUUAAUAAAGAAGGCUGAUGACGGUACCGUAAGAAUAAGCACCGGCUAACUACGUGCCAGCAGCCGCGGUAAUACGUAGGGUGCGAGCGUUAAUCGGAAUUACUGGGCGUAAAGCGUGCGCAGGCGGUUAUGCAAGACAGAUGUGAAAUCCCCGGGCUCAACCUGGGAACUGCAUCAGUGACUGCCUAGCUAGAGUGCGGCAGAGGGGGAUGGAA